UACAGAGGUCUCAAGCGUUGUUCGGAUUCAUUGGGCGUAAAGGGUGCGUAGGCGGCGCGGUAAGUCGGGUGUGAAAUCUUGGAGCUUAACUCCGAAACUGCAUUCGAUACUGCCGUGCUUGAGGACUGGAGAGGAGACUGGAAUUUACGGUGUAGCGGUGAAAUGCGUAGAUAUCGUAAGGAAGACCAGUGGCGAAGGCGGCUUCCUGGACCGACACUGACGCUGAGGCGCGAAAGCUAGGGGAGCAAACGGG
Molecule: ribosomal RNA, 253 nt
Filed under: uncultured bacterium
Lineage: Bacteria
Description: partial 16S ribosomal RNA
Rfam family: Bacterial small subunit ribosomal RNA
Source: RNAcentral